Homo sapiens (human) is the source of this 1019-nucleotide long non-coding RNA. RefSeq lists it as uncharacterized. Lineage: Eukaryota; Metazoa; Chordata; Mammalia; Primates; Hominidae. The record is from RefSeq and is a predicted model, not a curated record. The transcript has 2 exons.
GAAACAGACAAGGUUAUGUAGGAUGGUGAUCAUGACUGGAAAGGAAUCAGAUGACCCAUGAUGAAGUGCCAGAUUGGAGAACAAAAUGUGCCUCUAGGAUGGUUGGUGAAGCUGUACAUUCACAAGAAAGUAGAUGUGGGGAGGACAGAGCUCAUUCUGUGCCUGCAUUUUCUCAGUUGCCUUAAGCUGAAAAUAAUCAUUAUGUCAGAGUGGCAUAGUUUGGGGUUAUGUGCUCUGAACCCCUUCAAAUGAAAUAAUGAAUUUAGAUGGCCUAAAUCAUAACAUAUACACAUACACACACAAGAUAGCCAGAAAUUAUAUUUCCGGAUGGAGUAUACAAUCUGCCUUUGGGGUGGUCUUACCAAAAAGUCAGAUAUGGAUCUUAUUUAGUCUCUAGAUUUAACUAUCAAUUAACAAAAAAUACAGAGGACAGAGGUGCAUGUUGGAUAACAGCACAGGAAAAAAAACCCAGACUGUGAGAACUCGACAAGACAGGUGAAUUUUUUUUUCAACAAAUAAAUUGCAAGGAAAAACAGAUGGAGAAAAAAAUCAUUAGAAUAAAAGAGAUAUUAGAGAUAAAUCAACCAAGUGUACUAUAGAAGCCUUAUUUGGAUCCUUCUAACUGUUUAAAAAAUUACGAUCAGCUAAAUUUGAUCAUUGACUGGGUAUUUGAUGACAUUAAGGAAGUAAAUGUUAACUUAGGUGUGAUGUAAAAGAGUCCUUAGAGAUGCAUUCUGAAAUACUGACAAAAUGAAAUACAGUGACUAGGAUUUGCUUCAAAAUAAUUUACAGAGGGGUUGGACUGGGUGCAGAUAAGACACUAGUGGCCAUAAAUUGAUAAUUACUAGAGACAGGCAAUGAGUACAUGUGGCUUUUUAUUAUAAUGCCCUUCUCUCCACUUUUGUAUAUAUUUAAAUUCUCCGUAAUGAAAAGUUAACUAUCUGUAUUUGAAAUAGAGGAAAUAAAAAUGCCAAUUUAAAAGGUAUUUAUGCCUCUGUGAAAUAAAAUGUUUUCUUAGA